CUGAACCACUGCAUGAUGUCAACUGUCAGGUCCUUCAAAGAAAAAAGAUCAUCUCUAAGGCACAAGAGAAACCUUUCAUCUGAUCGACACAUGGAUUUCAGGAUGGAGAGGGAGGAGGAGGACAGCAUCGGGGCAGAUGAUUGGACCCAGGCAUCAAACAGAGGAAAGGGGCCUGGUCGAGUCUCCCUACAUCCCAGAAGUUUGCUGGAGUUGGGAUCUAAACAUCAUUGAGUGACGGCACAUUCAUCAUCAUGUAUCUUUAAUCAUGAAACAUUUAAAAUAAUGAAUGAUUUUUUUUAAAUCUUUCUGUUCAAGCUGUUUAUACCAGAUGACACGCUGGCUGGCUUCUACCUUUAACAUCAGAUGCAACAACUGUUUUGUUGUUGUUGUGUUUUGAUUAAUGUGAAAGAAAAGCAUUUAUUGGAUCUUGUUACAUUUAUGUACAAACUUUUCAGUCUGCAUUUACAAACUGUCUGUCUUGGGUGAACCUCACUGCAUUUGUGUUUGGGAAUUUUGAGACUCCCCUGUCGUGAUUCAAAUUCACAAAUACAUUUUUUUCAGCAGAGAAAUGUCUGCAGCCAAUCAGAUGUCUCCUUCCUAUUAGUGCUGGGCGAUAUAUCAUGAAGCUCGAUUCGAUCGAUAUUUAAUUAAUGCUUGAUAUGGAAAAGGGAACAUCGAUUUUAUUUUUAAACUACUUCCAAGUUUUCUUUCUUGCUUCUUUUGUCGAAGAUUUCGUUGCUCCGUGAGAUUUCCGCAGCAGCGCUUGUUGCGCGGAGACGAAAGGGCGGAGGAGACUUCACUCCUGCCGCUGAGUAGCCCAGCUCUUAAAAGCGACCAACACGGAGGAGAAAGAUGCGAGCGAGGCCGAAUUACUUCCAAAAAAAGGCUCAUAACGCAGGGCUCGACAUUAUAAUUGGCCCGCUGGCCCGGAUGAAUGAUUGACAGAGUCCAGCUGAUUGCACGUUCAGCUGGCGGCUUCACUGCGUUUGGUAAAACGGUUUUAAAACCAUCAGAUCCCAACAAAAGCCGAGCUUAAAUCAGCAUUCAAGGAAUAACAAUCACCGGAAAAGUCGAGAGUGACAGCAGGGCGAAAACAGAACGGAGAAAAGUUAGAUCCACAGUGACAGACAGCUGGAGGAGCUGGAACACGUUAAAGUUGAAGACUAGA
This is a non-coding RNA of Labrus bergylta (ballan wrasse), 1168 nucleotides long. Lineage: Eukaryota; Metazoa; Chordata; Actinopteri; Labriformes; Labridae. The record is from RefSeq and is a predicted model, not a curated record.